Molecule: ribosomal RNA, 1673 nt
Filed under: Bagliettoa calciseda
Lineage: Eukaryota; Fungi; Ascomycota; Eurotiomycetes; Verrucariales; Verrucariaceae
Description: eukaryotic LSU rRNA
Rfam family: Eukaryotic large subunit ribosomal RNA
Source: RNAcentral
AUAUCAAUAAGCGGAGGAAAAGAAACCAACAGGGAUUGCCUCAGUAACGGCGAGUGAAGCGGCAACAGCUCAAAUUUGAAAUCUGGCCCCUCGGGGUCCGAGUUGUAAUUUGUAGAGGAUGCUUCGGGUUAAGCCGCGGCCUAAUUUGCUUGGAACAGCGAGUCAUAGAGGGUGAGAAUCCCGUCUAGGGCCGCGCGCCGCGCCCGUGUGAAGCUCCUUCGACGAGUCGAGUUGUUUGGGAAUGCAGCUCUAAAUGGGUGGUAAAUUUCAUCUAAAGCUAAAUAUUGGCCAGAGACCGAUAGCGCACAAGUAGAGUGAUCGAAAGAUGAAAAGCACUUUGAAAAGAGAGUUAAACAGUAUGUGAAAUUGUUGAAAGGGGAGCGCUUGCAACCAGACUUGCGAGCGACGGUUCCCCGGGUCUUCUGACCCGGCUACUCCGUCGUCUCCAGGCCAGCAUCGGUUUGGGUGGUCGGUGAAAGGCCCCGGGAAUGUAUCUACCUCCGGGUCGACUUAUAGCCCGGGGCGCAAUGUGGCCCACCCGGACCGAGGAACGCGCUCCGGCUCGGAUGCUGGCGUAAUGGUUGUAAGCGGCCCGUCUUGAAACACGGACCAAGGAGUCUAACAUCUAUGCGAGUGUUUGGGCGUCAAACCCCUACGCGUAAUGAAAGUGAACGGAGGUAAGAACCCCGUCAAAGGGGCGCAUUAUCGACCGAUCCUGAUGUCUUCGGAUGGAUUUGAGUAAGAGCAUAGCUGUUGGGACCCGAAAGAUGGUGAACUAUGCCUGAAUAGGGUGAAGCCAGAGGAAACUCUGGUGGAGGCUCGCAGCGGUUCUGACGUGCAAAUCGAUCGUCAAAUUUGGGCAUAGGGGCGAAAGACUAAUCGAACCAUCCUUAUGGCAUCUCGUAAAGAAAAGGUUGCCAGGUGGUUAAUUUCCUAACUUUCAGUUAGGCCAGUCUGAUACUUGAUAUUGGGCGACGUCGUCAGUCUUCGGGGAUGUCCUCACGGCUAUCCGAAGCCGUCCUUAUCUCGGGACGGUUCACAGACUAGACAAUGACGGCCGGAUCCUCUUGACCGGGGACGGUCCUUAUAUAGUCGAGUAAAGUUAUUGGAGAUCUUGUGAGUGUCUCUUUGACCAGAGAGUACUCGGUAGACUAAAUCCUGUAGCUUUAAACGCUGGUAGCUGGUUCCUGUCGAAGUUUCCCUCAGGAUAGCAGUAACGUAUUCAGUUUUAUGAGGUAAAGCGAAUGAUUAGAGGCCUUGGGGUUGAAACAACCUUAACCUAUUCUCAAACUUUAAAUAUGUAAGAAGUCCUUGUUACUUAAUUGAACGUGGACAUUUGAAUGUACCGUUACUAGUGGGCCAUUUUUGGUAAGCAGAACUGGCGAUGCGGGAUGAACCGAACGUGAGGUUAAGGUGCCGGAAUGCACGCUCAUCAGACACCACAAAAGGUGUCAAUGCAUCCAGACAGCCGGACGGUGGCCAUGGAAGUCGGAAUCCGCUUAGGAGUGUGUAACAACUCACCGGCCGAAUGCAUUGGCCCUGAAAAUGGAUGGCGCUUAAGCGUGCUACCUAUACCUCGCCGUUAGGGUUGAAAUGAUGCCCUAACGAGUAGGCAGGCGUGGAGGUCCGUGACGAAGCCUUGGGGGUGACCCCGGGUCGAACGGCCUCUAGUG